UUCGGGGUGCCCAGGCGCGAAAACUUCACCAUGGGAGAAAUCCCGAUGAGGGAAUUCCAAGUGCUAGCACUAUGUGUUAGCUGUUCUUUUGUCUAAAAAACAGAAGAAGUAAGGGCCGGGUAAGACGGGUGCCAGCCGCCGCGGUAAUACCCGCGGCCCGAGUGGUGGUCGAUAUUAUUGAGCCUAAAACGUCCGUAGCCGGUCUUGUAAAUCCUUGGGUAAAUCGGCCAGCUUAACUGUCCGAAGUCCGGGGAGACUGCAAGACUUGGGAUCGGGAGAGGUCAGAGGUACUUCUGGGGUAGGGGUAAAAUCCUGUAAUCCUGGAAGGACCACCGGUGGCGAAGGCGUCUGACUAGAACGAAUUCGACGGUGAGGGACGAAGCCCUGGGGCGCAAACGGGAUUAGAUUCCCCGGUAGUCCAGGGUGUAAACGCUGCGGGCUUGGUGUUGGGGGUCCUUUGUGGGCGCCCAGUGCCGGAGAGAAGUUGUUAAGCCUGCUGCUUGGGGAGUACGUCCGCAAGGAUGAAACUUAAAGGAAUUGGCGGGGGAGCAC
Molecule: ribosomal RNA, 552 nt
Filed under: uncultured archaeon
Lineage: Archaea
Description: bacterial SSU rRNA
Rfam family: Archaeal small subunit ribosomal RNA
Source: RNAcentral